This 31991-nucleotide long non-coding RNA is filed under the name Lynx pardinus (Iberian lynx). The record is from RNAcentral. Lineage: Eukaryota; Metazoa; Chordata; Mammalia; Carnivora; Felidae.
GCCUGGGCUGUUGCGCGGGUAAGGAGACAGGCAAAAACCAAGGCCAAAGUGAAAAAGAAAACAAAAUAAGCCUUUGGAAAAGUGACUCAGCCUGUUCGGGAACCAUUUAAUAACGAGCCAACUUUUUGUAAGGCUAUUUUAACUCAUUUCUGCGUUUGUUCACUCAUUCUUUUAACGCUUACUACCUUCUUCCCCUGGGUUCUGGCUGAGCUAGGUUAUGGGGAACAAGAUGAUGAAUGAAAGUGGCAGCUGUACCCUUCUCAGAUGUAAAGUUAUGUAAACAAAUCAGACAUAAGGACAUUAUCCUUUAAAUAGGCCAUGCCUUCAGUGAGCUAAAUGCAUUGAAAGGGAAGGAAUGUGUACCUAUGAAAUGAUGGAAGUGACCACUUGAAGAAGUAGAUUUUAGGCUGGGAUGUGAAGCACCAGGUUGGGCAGGGACAGAGCUCUCCAGGCCUGGGGAAGGGGGCACUGGAGGGAGCCUGGCACGGACAGUGCCCAGAAGACUGACUAGUAUGGCUGAGGCAUAGAGGGAGAGGGGAGAGACGUGAAAACCGUCUGCAUAGGAUAGGCAAGAGCCAGGCCAUGCCUAGGGCCUUUCUUUUAGUUUUGUGUUAAGGACAGCUGGAGGAAUUUUUGUUUUACUCUGUUUUUGUUUGUGUGUGGGAAGGGGCUUGAAUUGAUUGCCUUUCCAUACUGAAAGUCUCACUCAUCUUUGGGAAGGAGAUGAGAAGGGGCUGGGGUAAGUGAGAGCAGAGCACAAGCUGGAAAGGCAGGAGGCCCCUAUGUAGUCCAGGGGUGAGGACCCAGGACUUGAAUGGUGGUACUCGAAAUAGUGAGAAAAUAAAAUAAGACUAGUGCUCAAAGCCAACAUUGAUUGCUCACAUCAGCUUUACACUCAUUAACUUGUUUAAUCUUGAGAACCAUCCUUUUAAGCCUUAUUGCUACAAUUUUGCAGAUGAAAAAACAAUAACUUGUCCUAAUUCUCAGAGCUAGAAAAUGCUCAAGAUGGGAUUCCAUCUCAUCUUGUCUGAUGCCAGUAACCAUGAGCUUAUCACUAUACACUCAGUAUGAAUUUAGUGAUUUAAAAAAAAGAAAAAAAAAAAAUAAGGUCAGGAAUGCAUCCCCUAAACAAACCACUCUAAUGAUGUGAUAUUGUUGGAGGACACAUCUAGAAAGUAGAGUUCCCAAAUUUUUACUGUAUCAUUCUAGUAUUUGCUGACAGAAAAGAGGGCAAUUUGUGACUGUCAAUAGACUGCCUAUGAUUAUUUUUGAGUUGAUACGCUGAUAAGACCUAAUGCCUUUCUGGGGGAAGAAAAAAAGUCAGUCUACAAAGUACACUCCACUGCACAGUUGCUGAUACAUUAUUUUUAAAGAAGUUAUCUUGAGUUGGGUUAUAAACACCUUGGUGGAACAUGCAUGACUCACAUUUUGUGGAGUGAUAGAAAAGCUUCCUGGGAGUACAACUCCAAAUCAGCUUCCACAUCUCAUUUCUUAUUGGAAAACAAAAUAAAUUUGAUUUAUGAAAGCUGGUUUCACCCACUGCAGGAAAAGUAUGACUUUGCCAAAGGCCAAUAGUGAAGUCUUUUAGUAUUUGUGGUGGGUAAAUUUCGGUAAGGAGUCAAAAAUUCACAAAAAUCAUCAGAAUUUGAAUUUGAUAAGAAUUUCUUGGGUUGUUCAGGCACAAGGUAUGGUACCUCCUCAUGAUUGUUUUGGUUGAAGGUGCAAGUUCCAUGAAAUGGCUAAGAACUCACUGUACUCCAGGCCCAGUCUUUUCAGGAGUGCUUGACUGAAUGCCACAAACCCAGAGGACAAGCUUUGCCUCUAGACACAGGGAAAACAGUGCUCAGCAUUUGAGCUGUGCCUGGGAAAAUGUCUGGAGUCUGAGUGGGAGAAGUUACAGUCUCCUAAAUUAGAAAUUAAAACUGUCAGAGCAAAAUGAAACAACAUUUAUUAAAUGGUCACAAAAUAUAAUACUGUGUCAGCUUCAUUAAUUGCUGGAUUUGUUGUUCAUAACAAUUUCACUACAUUGGAAAAUAGUUUGUAGAUGAGAUGCUCUUAACUGAAAAUUCCUGGAUAUAUAUGAUGAGUGUUGAGAAAUCACAGUGUAUUUUCUUUUAUGUAAAACAAUUUUUUUAAAUUUUUAUUUUUGAGAGAGAGAGAGAGAGAGAGCAUGAGCAGGGGAGGGGCAGAGUGAGAGAGGGAGUCACAGAAUCUGAAACAGGCUCCAGGCUCUGAGCUGUCAGCCCAGAGCCUGACACAGGGCUCAAACUCACGAACCGUGAGAUCAUGACCUGAGCUGAAGUCAGACGCUUAACUGACUGAGCCACCCAGGCGCCCUGAAAUCACAGCAUAUUUUAAAUUAAUUACUUUAGCCGAAUAAUUUCAAAAGCAAAAUUAUAAAAUUCUUCAUAGCAAAAUAAUUAAAUGUGGGAUGUGUACACAUUUUAACAUAUCUGAAGUGAUGUACAAGUAAGAGCGUUUAGAGAAUAUGAAGGUCUUAGUAUAGCAAUAGGUCUUAUACAGUUAUGUUCGCCCCAAACAUGCUUGUCAGGGGCGCCUGACCUAUCUCUUGUCCUCCAUCCAGGUCUGGGCUUCAGUUCCAAACUAUACCCUGGGAAUCUUGAUAGGACUGGUGUCAGGAUCUCUCACAUGGGCUGAGUUCUUCUGGUGGAUCUCAAGGCUCUUCCAGCUCUAUGUUCACUCCUGAGACUAAAGGCUGCUCUGGAGAAAGCCUGCUGGUAUAGUCUGGUCUGUACCUCCUGAGAUAGCUUGAAGGGUGUCUUAAAGGACACAUCACCCUUUCUUCUUCCAGAGAUGACCUGGAACCAGGCUUCCCCCAAGGCCUCCUGAGGGCUGGGUGUGUGGUGUGAAGGGAGGUAUCUUCACUCCCAGCUCCUUGGCUUUGCCUUUGGGAGAACAGGAGUAAAGGAAAGACUUUUGAUGUCACUGCUUUCCCUUGAGAAUACCUUAAAACAAUAAUAUGUGUCCUGACAGGUAGUGACUAUCAUGCCAACUCUAUUUUACAGUAAUCUGUUUCCAUACUGCUACUCAAAAAACAUGCGAUCUGAACUUUGACUAGGAGGGACAGUCCCCAGUAAUAGCCACAGUUGGGUGAUAUUGACAUAAUCGUGAUGGUGGAAGGAUUUAGAAACCUGGUAGGUUUUCUCCCGUGGCCUUUCUCGGGUCUUUACAGUGAGCUUAUUUAUUUAUCUCACGAGUGUCUCAUCCCCAGCACUGCAAACUCUGCAGGAAAUGAUCUGGAAGGGCCAGAUAUUGUGUUAUGUUUAAGGUCAUGGAGAAAAAACAGUGGCAACCUCCCAAAGAAAAGACAGGCUUCUGAGUCUGGAUGUGUUGGGUCAGCAGGGUCACUGUUGAACCCCCCCAGGCCAACCAUUACAGGAAACAGAAUUAUAAGCCUGUCUUACUAGGAGGGAAUGGACCUCAGAAGCCUGAUUUCUAUAUUCCCCUUGACAUUUAAAAAAAAACUCUGCUCUUGUGCCAGAGGAGAGUGAAGAAAAUUUUAAAAGGAGAAAAAUGUUUGUUUUAAGGCUUGCUCAGUAAUCCACUUAUGCAGUUUACAUUAAAGAACCUUUCAUGUAAACAUCAUUAAUUAUGUAGUAUAAGAGCCAAAUAAAAAUGCUAAAAAAUAAAAGUAAUUGUGGGAUAAAUUAGUAUAGCUUGAGUGCACAUAUAUUAUGCAGACACUCUAGACUUUUAUAUUUUAUUGAGGGAGGUGGAUUUGUGAUUUUCUAUGUUUGAGCUGCUAGGAUGGAACCAACAGAAGUGACAUUUUACAGAUGGAUACCAAAGCUGUUAAAGUUUAAACUCAUACUGGCAAUGAGACUGUGCUUUUUAACAAGAGUCCUUGACUUAUGCCUCCUCUCUAAAUCUGUCUAGAAAAGGGGCGCCUGGGUGGCUCAGUCGAUUAAGUGUCCGACUGGGCUCAGGUCAUGAUCUCGUGGUUCGUGAGUUCGAGCCCUGCAUCAGGCUCUGUGCUGACAGCCCGGAACCCGGAGCCUGGAGCCUGCUUCGGAUUCUGUGUCUCCCUCUCUCUCUGCCCCUCCCCCGUUCAUGCUCUGUCUCUCUCCGUCUCAAAAAUAAGUAAAUGUUAAGUCUGUCUAGAAGAGAUUCUGGGCAGAGAUGUGGAUUGAGUAUCCCAUGGAUUUCCCCAGAAGGUUUUUUGUUUUUUGUUUUUUUUUGUUUUUUUUUUUCAAUGUUUAUUUAUUUUUGGGACAGAGAGAGACAGAGCAUGAACGGGGGAGGGGCAGAGAGAGAGGGAGACACAGAAUCGGAAACAGGCUCCAGGCUCCGAGCCAUCAGCCCGGAGCCCGACGCGGGGCUCGAACUCACGGACCGCGAGAUCGUGACCUGGCUGAAGUCGGACGCUUAACCGACUGCGCCACCCAGGCGCCCCCCCAGAAGGGUUUUUUNAGCCCAAGGGGACGUAAACGAUGGUUUGCGGGUGACAGGAGUCCCUCUCCCUCUCUUCCCCCCACCCUGCCUGUCUCCACGUCACCCCUGUGCCACUCACAGGCCCCUCCGCACCCCUGUCUCCACCUGCUCCGUUCCUGUCCUCUUCCUGGUCCGAGUUGGUGGCAAAGUCCACCGCAUAGCGGACAGAGGGCUUGCAGCUUCCUUUCUCAUGGAAAUUCUCCUUUGCUGUGUCCCUCUUGCCUUUAAUAUCCUUACUUUUGGAUAAUAAUUAUAGCUUCGGACAUAGGUUUUUUUUUUUUUUAAUUUUUUUUUUCAACGUUUAUUUAUUUUUGGGACAGAGAGAGACAGAGCAUGAACGGGGGAGGGGCAGAGAGAGAGGGAGACACAGAAUCGGAAACAGGCUCCAGGCUCCGAGCCAUCAGCCCGGAGCCCGACGCGGGGCUCGAACUCACGGACCGCGAGAUCGUGACCUGGCUGAAGUCGGACGCUUAACCGACUGCGCCACCCAGGCGCCCCCCCAGAAGGUUUUUUGGAGCAGGACCAUGAUUAUCUUCUCCAAAAUCAGUAGCCUCCGUCGUACAGUCAAGUGCAAUAACAGAAAACUGCUUGUGUCUGUGUUAAAGGAAGUGAAUUGUGUGAAGAAGGGCAGGGACAGAAGCUGUUGAGGAAAUAUGGCACAGAGACCGUGGAGUAGCGAUGACACUAUGCAUUUGUAUCACCUUUUGUAGUAUUUCAGAAGUCUUCAUGUACGUUAUGAAAAUUAAUCCUUUACAAUAAUUUUGUAAACUAGGUAGGGUAUGUAUAUUUUUACCAACCUCAUUUGACAGACAAGGAAAUUGAAGCUUAGGGAGGGAAGUCACAAUGAAACAGGGAUUGGAAAGCACUGCAUAAGUUCUAUCGUUUUUUUCUACUACCACAUUCAUAUUACUUUUUAAACAUAAAUGAAAAAAAACAUGGUGUAGUUCAUAGCAAUAUUUUGUGCUAUGUGGGAUCUUUUAAGAACAUGUGAGUGUAUUUACAUCAUUUCCUCAGGGAAAGUUUUGUUUUACCUAGAAAAGCAGGAAAUGGAGUUGAAAUGGGAAAAGUUUUUUCAUUUUUAUGGAUUAAACCCAUCUGUUAUUUUCACUAAGCCUCCUAUCAUGGAGGACGAUAGAUUUCUUACAACAUAAAGAGAUGAGAAAAGAGGAAAAUGUGUUUCCUUUGUUCUCUGGUUCAGGUUCAUACCCAUCCAUGGAGUCCUGUUCAGAUAAAACAGGGCAGUCAGUUUACCCAUCAGAAAGAAAAGACACUGCUGUCCUCAGAUAUGCCCCAACACUCUGGACAGUCUUGCACAGAAUUAAAGUUAACACUUACCGCUCUGAGGAAUUCUGAGGGAUAAUUUUUUUUUUUUUUCACUGCUUCGGGCAUCUUUCAAUACUAUGCUUGAAUAUUUUGCUAUAUUUUACAUCUGCACAAGACAAAAUUAAGCAAAAUUAUCUUUCACUUCUUUAUUCAGAAUAGUGCUUACUGAGUAUGUACCUUGUGGCAGUAGGAGUUCAACUCUGGGGUUGAAUCUAACAGACACGCUUCUUGUUGUAAUGGAAUUCACCAUCAAGGGGGGGAGAUGAAUAUGAAUCACAUGAUCACAACAGUAAAUACAUACUGUAAGAGGCCUCUGCUCUGGUGAGAACAGGACUAGUAGAUGAUUAGGUAAUUGGAAAAUGCAGUUAAAGUGGGAAAUCAUUAAAUAUGUGUGUGUGUGUGUGUGUGUGUGUGUAUGUACAUAUACAUUUAACCCUUGAAUAACAAGGGGGCCAGGGGCACCCACACCUCAUAAAUCCAUGUAUAACUUUUUGACUCCCCCCAAACUUAACUAAUUUAUGGCCUACUGUUGAUUGGAAGCCUUGUUGAUAACAUAAAAAUGGAUGGACACAUAUUUUGUAUGUUAUAUGUAUUAUAUACUGUAUUCUUACAACGAAGCAAUCUAGAGGAAAGAAAAUGUUAUUAAGAAAAUCACAAGGGGCUGGCACCUGGGUGGCUCAUUUGGUUAAGCUCAGGUCAUGAUCUCCCAGUCGGUGAGUUGGAGCCCCACAUUGGGCUUUUUGUUGUCAGCGUGGAGCCUGCUUCAGAUCCUCUUGCUUUCACUCUCUGCCCCCCACUUGUACUUUAUCUCUCUCAAAAAUAAAUGAACAUUAAAAAAAAAAAGGAAAUCACAAGGAAGAGAGAAUACAUUUACAGUACUUCACUGUGUUGAAAAAAUAUCUGUGUAUAAGUAGACCCACCCAGUUCAAACCUGUGCUGUUCAAGAAGGGUCAGAUGUGUAUUUAUAUACACAUACACAUAAGUAUACGUAUACAUUCAUAUAUAUAUACAUAUAUACAUUUAUAUAUGUGUGUGUAUACAUAUAUGUGUGUAUACACAUUGUAAAUGUAUGUGUGUGUAUAUAUGUAUAUAUGUGUGUGUGUGUGUGUGUAUAUAUAUGUAAAACUUUUAUUUUUUACUUAAAAUACAUAAAUGAACAUUUAUUUGCCAAAUUUGAUAGGGUCACCCUUCUUGCAUACAGCCUACUCAAAUGCAUAUCAUCUACAAUUUUCAGUUUCAGAUACUUUAAUAUAGAGGGAGAACUUAAAGACACUUGCAAAAUAAUUUGAGUUCAUUUAAAUUUUUAUUAUUUUUUUCCUCUGGUCCUUUACACUUGUCUUACCUAUCACUAAUCUAAGAGCAAUUUCCUCCCAGCUUUUUCAAGUCUUUUCAAAGCGUUUAACAUUUUUUUUUUUAGUUUAUUUAUUUAUUUUUGAGAGAGAGCACAAGCAGAAGGGGGGGGGGAGAGAGAGAAAGAGGGAGACACAGAAUCUGAAGCAGGCUUCAGGCUCAGAGCUGUCAGUGUAGAGCCUGAUGUGGGGCUUGAACCCAUAAACUCUGAGAUCAUGACGUGAGCCAAAGUUGGAUGCUUAACCGACUGAGCCAUGCAGGCACCCUGUAACUUAGUUUUCAUAGAAAUGGCAACUCUCUUUUUAUGUUCAUAUUUGAUUAGUUGAUGUGAUAUUUAAUUAAACUACAUAAUUAUAGUCAGCAAGUACAACUGCCGUAAACAGGUUAGGGAACAAAAACAACCACUCUCAGUUGGUGGGGAUAGAAGGGAUGGGGGUAGUAGGCUACAGAAGCCACAAGCAUCUAUCAUGCUUUGGGCCAUCAGUCAAUACGUUUUACAGAUGGAUUUGAAAACGUCAGUAAAUUCAACCCUCUCCUCACCCCCACCCCCCCCCCACCCCCAGCUCAAUCGAAAGAGUUUCUAUUGUAAUUAAAAACUAGUAAACAUUACUAAGGAAAAGCAGUGGGUGCCAUAAAGGUCUGUAAUUGGGGAAUGUGACUCAGUCCCAGGGCAGCAGGAGAGGCCUCUCACGGGAAAUUACAGUUGAGCUGCGAUCAGAGAGUAAUUAGGCAUUUGCUCAAAGAGGGGCUGGGACAGGGGUCUGGAGAAAGGAGUUCCAGGCAGCAGGAGCAGUAGAGUCCAUGCUGUGUGGAAAAUAAGGAACUGAAAGAGGCCAGUAUGAUCAACGCAAAGAGCGGAAGUGGGAGAGCAGUCCGGGAUGAGGCAGAGGGAAGGAGAUGCCUGUUCACACCAGCUUUGCAGGCUCUGACAAGCAUGCAGGUCUUCGUCCCUACUCAUACCAGAAAGCUGUCAAUGAUUACGAAGCAAAAGGGUCUGCAGCAGCUAGUUUGUUUUGACCCCUAAAUCUAAUGGGGGCACUUGGAUUGUUUUUAUAAUCUAAAUACAUUAUAGCUAGAGGAGAAAACAAUAUUUUCAUGACUGCUGGCACCUUUGGGAGGGAGCUGUCCUUGAAUAAGAAAAUACAUUCAUUAGCUGCCCACGGGUCAAAGUUGGGUAGGCGGCAAGAUAAUAAAAGAGAUGCUAAGUAUCCCUGCCGAGAAUGUGGGAGGGAAAGAGAGAGAAGGGUGGGGGGAAGGUGUUGUAUUAUUUUCCUAGGGCUGAGGUAACAAAAUACCACAAACUGGUGUGGGGGGGGCUUAAGAUAACAGACAUUUAUUCUGCCGCAGUAUUGGAGGUGAGACAUGUGAAAUCGGUGUCAGCAGGGCCAUGUUCUCUCAUGGAGCUCUGGGUAGAAUCUGCCUGCGCCUUUUCCUAGUUUCUGGCAGUGGCUGGAGAUCUGUGGUGUUCCUUGGCUUGCGGCUGCAGACUGCAUCCCUUGAAUCUCUACCCUGUGGUCUUAAGGCAUUCUCCCUGUGUGCCUUUGUGCCCCUUCUUUACUUAUAAGGACCCUAGUCAAAUUGGAUCAGUCCCACCCUUAAUGACGCCAUCUUAACUUGAUUACGUCUGCAUAGACUCUAUUUCUUUCUUUCUUUUUUUUUAAGUUUAUUUAUUUUGAGAGAGAGAGAGAGAGAGAAUGAGAGAGAAUCCCAAGCAGGUUGUGCACUGGCAGUGCAGAGCCUGACUCAGGGCUCGAACUCAAGAAUCGUGAGAUCAUGACCUGGGUCGAAACCAAGAGUCAGACGCUUAACCAACUGAGCUACCCAGGCUCCCCAAGACUCUAUUUCUAAAGACGGUCACGUCUGCAGAUGGUGGGGGUUUGGGCUCAAAUAUAUCUUUUUGAGGGAUAUAAUUCAACCCAUAACAGGUGUGAAGGGAGAGUAGUGAGAAGAAUAAGCAAAACCGUGGGAGCUUAAAUGGUGAGGUUGGCUACACCCACUAAGAAAUUGCUGAUAGCUAAGCGGUUCUCAAGUGCUUUGCUUACAGUGUAAGAUGUGACAGCCUGCAAAACGUUUCCCCCAUCACAGCCAUGUGGUGGCUCCCGCCUUUUCAGUGAAGUUUCUGCUAGCAAAAACUUGUUGGCAGAGGUGGUAAAGGUGAGGGGACAAGUGACAAGUGGAGUCUCUGAGAAGGAUUCGGGUUCUAUGUUAGGGCUACUAACAUAAAAAGUGUGAUCACAGGAAGUCUCAGAGUGAACAUCAGUUUGGUAGAGGCUGAAAAGAGUAAUUUUGUGACUGUAAAACCCUCUCUCUAACCCAGAUAUUUAGAGAUAUAUUGGAUUUCCACAGUCUCUAGCCUGGGGACUUGGGUCAACCUUCUCUCCAACUUGUUGGGAUAGGACCAAGGUUGCAAAUACAAUUAUUAUUAAAAAUCUACCCUGCAAUUUUUCUAUCAUCCUUUUUAGGGUACCGUGCAUGAUUUUGGCCAAUCAUAAGAGUGUUUGUGUGUGUUUUUUUAAAUGUUUAUUUAUUUUUGAGAGAGAGAGAGAGUGUGCAUGCAUGCACACAGCUGUGAUGACAGCAGAGAGCCCGAUGCAGGGCUCAAACUCAGGAACCGUGAGAUCAUGACCUGAGCCAAAGUCAGACGCUCAACCGACUGAGCCACCCAGGCUCUCCAAGUGUUUGCAAUUUACUUUUAAAAUAGUGAAAAAUCCUGUGUUCUGUAUCUCUUGCCCUACCAUCUUGUAAAUCUGCGCAUUCCAAAUAGAUGACCACUUUGAUGGCAGGAGGAUGUUCUCUGAAGUUCAGUUUUCGCUUCUUGUCAAUCUCCUGCUGCACUUCGUAGAAAACCCUUGUGAUGCGUUUCUUUACUAGCAGAAGCUCUUACGUGCCGCUCCCUCAGGUUUGCGCCCGGCUCUCAAAACGAAGGGAAUGAUUUCCUGUAGUGAGUCCAGAUGUUGUGUUCAGCACUAUUGCAAUUAGCCAUCAAGUCUGAGAGCUGUAUGAAAUUACGUCUGUCUUUGAGGCCUGGGAGGGAAGACGAUUUGGUAAUAGUUUAACGUCCGUUGGGUGAAAUCGUUGACACUGGGGAAGAACUACUGCCUCCAUGAACGAGGAUCUUUCGCGGCACCUUUUCGGUUCGUUUCUGCGCUCCAUUUACAUGGGUGUUUAACACGAAUGUGCUUUUAAAACAUGUAACAAUUUCCUGAAAACCUAAGUAACUGGCAAAUGGUUAGAAUAAUUAAUAAGGCAGGUGUUUUUGUGUUUCGUCUUCUGUACGCAGCUUGGAGAGAAUGGGAACAAUUUCAGCUGGCAAAGGUAUCGUCUGUGGCCAGUAUGUACUGCCUCUGUGGAAGCUUCCACCCGUACUGCAGGCACUUCACGGGCACUGAGACUGCUCAGGCAAAAUGAAGCAAAAAGCAGAGCAAUUACCCAGAGACUAUGAAUACAAUACGAUGUUGUGUUUGGACAUUUAGGCAAGAAAUCUUCAGGGUCUUCUCCCGCUUUGAGAAUCCUGCCUGGGUUGUUGGUUGGAGAAGCUGGAGAAUGUUCUUCUUUAGCCCUGAAGGAGUUGGCUGACCCCUCCAUCCCCCCCACAGUAAGCCAGAGAAAUUGUGUUCUCUAGCUGAUAAGGGCAGACGGGCCACCUUGGUAAACUUGACAGUCAUGCUCUUGAGCCUUGGAGGACCACCUGGUAUCCCGUUAAACCAAGCCAUAUCUGCAUGACUCCUGCCUGCUGAGGAAGGGUGUCUGCCCCAGAGAAGGCACUCAUGGCAGGGCCAGGAGUCCUGAGACGACCAGAGAAUGCUGGCAGAAUGGCCUGUGAGGUUCAACCCGAGGCCUCCUGCCAUGUUGCUGGGCUCCCUGGCUCUGUAUGGUCUUUGUUCCCGUAAUUCCUGUGUGGGUUUCUAUACCCACAAUUUCUGCUCUGCCCUUAUUAAGUCCUUAUAACAACCCUUUAAACACAGUAUUUCAGCUGAUGUCACAGGUGCCAUUCUUCUGUGAUACCCACAUUUGGACCACCCCUUAAGGCCACGACCGUCUUCUCAUAGCUCUAUACAAACUCUUGAUGGCUGCCUCACAUUAAAAACAUUAAAGCAGAGGGGGAAAAAAAAAGAAAUCUCAGCUUAACCUAGCCAUAUAAACCACCCAUUUGUGCUAGUUACUCUGCAGGUAUAAAGCAUUCUUAACACUUAAACACUUCAUUCUGUUAAUAGCAGUAAGUUGGCCAAAAUUCCAAAGAAACUUCUUGAAAUGGUAAUCAAUUUUAAGGGAUUCUUUAUAAAAUCGAGAGUGUUAGCUACUUUCUGGGGAAAAGGAAGACUAAAGGAUAAUAAGACUUUGGCAGAUAGGAAGUAUGUGGGCAUCAGUUAUUCUUAUUAGUUAGAGAGACAAGACAGGAGUAAUUGGCAUAAGCUAGAUGGAAUAAAAGACAUUUAAUAUAAGGAAAAUCUCAUUAUAAGGACAAGAAAACUUUGGCAUUGCCCUCUUGUACUGCUGGUGACAAUUCAAUUAUAGGAUUGUCAUAUUUCUUAUUUUGUAAUUGUUAAUUGGUUAAGGCAUAGGACAUCUUUGUGAAAUUUCUCUUUCUUCUUCAGUGUGUGUGUGUGUGUGUGUGUGUGUGAAAAUGAAGAAACAGAGACACAGCAGUGACUUAUGUUACUAGCUCCAUUCCUCUAGGGAAAGCUCACAACUCAGAAUUACUCUUUCCUUCCACAGUGGAGAGGUAGAUGGUCGCUUUGAAGACAUCUCUUUCCAGCUUUUACCUACCAGGGUCUAAUUCUGGGGUUAUUUGUGGCUUCCUGGUUUCACACUGGUCUCCUUUCUCUUCCUCACUGACUGUCACAUAGAUGCAGAUGGUGAGACAGAAAAUCCAAUGAAAUUGUAUUGUCAGUUCAUGUUUCGCUGUAUUUUCUCUGCUCGUCACCUGUUUUAAAAGCUUAUCUGUUUGUAUGUCAUCUCUUAUAGCUUGCUUGGAUUCUCCUUUCCUCUUGGUCUGGGGGAAGGGCAGGGGGACACAGAGAGAGAGAGGGAGAGAGAGGUGUUUAAAGUUCCCUGCCAUCUGACGUCACCCGUGCUGCUGCAGGUGAUUUACAUGCCACAUGGUCUCCACCGUCUGUGUGCUGUAACUCGGUAAUUCAGUGGUAGCUUGACCUUCAACAGCUGCUGAACCUCCUCAUCUUUGCACAGGGGUAGAGGAGGCCAUUAUUGCAAGGAAAGAACAUGUGGCUUUCCAAAUGGCAUGAAAUACAUCUAUUGCGACCAGAUGAAUUACAUAUUCAUGAAAACUGUGUAACGGAAGACUACUCCGCUUGCCAGGCAGUCACCUUGGCCGAGCGCAAGGCUCGGUAAACAAUGCAAAGCUCUGGCUCCCUCAUUUAUUUACCUUGCCAGUCAACGUGCACAGCGCUGGGGCAGGUUUCUACGACCAGCCACGAGAGGAAAGCUGGGAAGAGCUCUGCGUUUCCAAGGAAAACUGAAUUCCAUGAUGCUUACAUUUUUAUUUUGUAUCAACAAAUAUUGAUUGGAUGUCCAUUAUUCUAACAGUAUCCGAACAAAAUUGUAAUACUGUAUUAUUAGGAAAGUUUCUGCAAAUGCUGGGAAGCUUCCCCCCCCCCCAUUAAAUAAAUAUCCAAUUAGUGUGUGUAAAACGACUCCCACCAAGAUGAUGAGUUUUGAUGUUUGUGUUUCUUAUUAAUUCCUGACUUACUAGUAAAGGAUCAUGGUAAUUAUCCCUAUUUUGCAGAUGGCAAAAAUGAAGCCAGAGGUGUUAAGUGACAUCCCAGGAACACUGUAAGUGGCAGAGCUAGGAAGAACAUUGCUGUGUCUCGACUCCAAGUUCCUAUUUACUCCACCAGAACACUGCACUCGUGUGGAUUUGACUUUACUGUCACCAUGUCAGUAAUGAUGACAACCCAAAAGGUGGUGACAUUUAAAAUGCUGUCCUUGGUCCUAUUCAUAGCUCGUCCGGGACGUACUUCCAAUGCUGGUUAGGUUCACGCACAUGCUGAGCCUCCUAGCUGCAGCUGUUCCCCUUCUCCACCCUGUGAUCUGUCCAUCUUUACAUUCUCCGCUGGGCUGGGUGUGCUAGUUGGGCACACUCACACCUGUUCACACCUUCUCUCAGUGCUCCUGGACUGCUAAAGCUACAGAGAGACUCUCUUGCAGUUAGGGGUCCAGAUAUGAUUUCAGGCUCUGCUAAUCAGGUGGAUUUAUGUAAGACUUAAGUUCAGAACUGAGUUAAAUGGCAAGAGCUAAGGUGGUCUGUUAGACCUUUAUCGAUCUAUCUAUCUAUUAAUUAUCUAUCAUCUAUCUAUCAAUCGUCUGUCUAUCUUUCUGUCUACCUACCUACCUACCUACCUACCUGCCUAUCUUUCUAUCUAUCUCCCAGUAAGGAUUUAGCAGGAAUGAACAAUUGUCAUCUCUGGAGAGCUGCUAAUGAGGUGCAUUUCUGGAGCCAGCAUUGCAUUGGGGUCUUUGGAUUCCUGUUUCCUGAAGGUGGCCAAGAGGGCAGCCCCCCCUGGGGUGCAGUUCUGCAGUAUCCUUCUAGGACUGCUGUCCAGGCUCAGCAUGGACCCAGUGCUCCUCCUGACCUUUCCAUGAUUUUGUUAGCACCUAGUUCCCUGUGUUAAAUCUCUUGCUCCUUAAACAAGAUAGUGUAGUUUCUCUGAUCUGUAGCUGACUCCUGACUCAUUCGCUGCUUAAAGAUUACCUGUGAGCCUGCUGCAUGCUGACUCAGUCUGUGUUUUAUCACAUCGUAUUGCAUUUACAUUGUUCUGUGUGUGUGUGUGUGUGUGUGUGUGUGUGUGUGUGUGUGUGCGCGCGCGCACGCGUGCGCUCAUGAGCACGCGCGUGCUCAUGAGCACGCGCAUGUGUGUCUCUUUCUCCUUCCCGCUCCGCCCUAGUCCUCAGACUCUGAGGUUAUUCAUCUUUUAGUCCUGCUCUGGGUGGGAUAAAGCCUGGCACAUAAUAUUCACUUAAGAGAUGUUUGUUCGAAUAAAUAGAUGGAUGACUAAACGCAUAGAACCAAGUAUCCUGUGAUGCUUAGUUCACAGGAGAAUGAAAACCUUGUUGAAAAUGCAGUUUUAUUUCAUACAUAUGCCAUUAGUGUAUUUUAUUUAAUAAAAAUGUAGAAAGGCACACACUUUUAGCUUGAUAUUAAUCAUUACCUUUUACUUAAACAGUCAAAUGGGAUUUGCUGCUCAGCUGUUAAAUAUUUUGCUGUCCCUGGAAAACCAGCAAUGUGCAUUGAUGAAUGUGAGCCUUGUGUCUUACCUCCUGUGUCCUACCCAUUACAUUUCUUCCUGGGUAAAAUCUGAACAGGUGCUGUUAGAUGCCUCAUUAACUGCAUGGAGCUACAGAAAUUCUGGGUGAGAUGAUCCCUCACCAGAAACUAAGCCCUGCGUUUAUUAAACACUGCCCUGGACUUAAAGCAUCGUGAUUCUUUCUGUGUUACCAUUGGUGACAGACACUGGCUUAAGGUGCCAAGAGCUUGAAUUGCUGUUAUCUCUUAUCUUUUCUCUGAUCCUCCCUUCUUUCCAUCAUGCAGCCUGCUCUCUACCAUUUAUCUGUCUGUUUCAUUUCUCCAUUAAUAUUUAUUAAGUGCCUACAGGUUGCAUAAUAAUAAUAUUAUAUUAUUAUUAUUAUUAUUAUCUUUUAAGCUACUUAAAAGGCUUUAACAAUUUGUAACUCAUUUAAUUCUUGCUAAAACUUUCUCAGGUUGGAAGGGCAGGCAUUCAUAUUCUCAUGCCACUGAUGAGCGUAGAAAGAUGUAGAAAGGGUAAGUGUCCUGCUAAAACUGAUGUAGUAGAACUGGGCCUAGGUGGUACCAUCUGCCCUGACUCUAGUUCACUGUUUGUCUCCAUCCCAUAUUUCUUACGACAUGAAACAAGACUAAAGAGAGACACAAAGUAGACAAUAUCAAAUCUUCAGGGCUUUGCACUGUAGACCAGUAUAUUUUAUACGUGAAGACACAGGGAAUGUCUUGAUGAAGGUUGGAAUAUGCUUCCACUCAAUUAUGAAAGGUAUUUUUAUUAUCAAGGAAUGUAUGUACUGCAUCUACAUGAAGCACCCAAAUGGUGAGAGCAUGUGAGCCUGAGCUGGCAAUGAUGAAUCCCUUUGGCCUUAAUGAUGCUACUGCAGCAGCAAUCUGAGGAGGUCACCCACACACAGCAUCCUGACCUGGUCUGAUGACAUAGGGGAUAUUAAGCAACAUUUCCAAGUAGGAGAGCAGCCAGGAAGGGGAAGUGGGAUGGCAGGAUAUCCCAGAGAACAAGUCAAAUGGGGAUCGAUUGAAGGGUCUAUGGAGGAGCAGGGGCGGGGUGGGGGGGGGAAUGGGAGAGGAGACGCUGUGUAUCAUUUUCUGUGUGACACCAGAGAGCAAAAUAAUCACACAAGGUAGAAUGACAGGGACAUAGGAGAAGACAUUUUCUGACCAUCACAGAACUCUAAACUGAGGUGGGCUGCCCUGGGAGGAAUAAGCUGUUUGUCAUUAGAAAGGUUCAAGAAGAUGACCAUCUAUCAGGGCUCUGGUAAGGGAUCCUCCCUUGUGGGGAGAUCAGAUAGUCAGCUGGUUGUCAGACUAAUGCAGGCUGGGAGCUGGACGAGAAGCAGGCCUAACUGGAGACUCUGAUUCAGCAGCUCUGGGUGCAAUCUGGAGAAUCUCUGUCGGGAAACCACUGGACCAGAUCCCUGGACUCCACAGUGGAGGGCCGAAGAAGGAGGACAUUUCCUUCACAUUUACAUUUUAUCUAAAAGGAAAAAAAAAAGCAGGAGCAGAAGAAGAAAACUUACUAAUAUUUAGUGUCUAGGGAAGCGCACAAUCUCUGAUCUGUCUGUGUGUCUGAUGUGUCCCAUCUGAUACUGCAGUGAGCAGGAGCCCUUCAACACUGAAGCUCGCGGCCAUGCCUUCCUUCGUUCAUCCACACUGGCAUGUUUCCAUAUAUUGUAGUUGAUUGUGCCCAGUUAGAGAAAUGUAUGGACUGUGUUAUCUUAAAUAAUAGAAUUGCAAAUAGCAGAAGCUUUAUAGUAUUUUGAAUGAAAUGGGGAAUAACGAUGACAACUUUUUUGUGUCACAGAGAAGUUUAUGGGCAUUCUUAGGUCAAAAUAAUUAAAGCAUAGUCAAAAUUGUACAUUUUUCUUUUACAAAAAUGUGUCCAAUUAUACUGACCUCCUGUGAUGACAAGUAGCUGUUGGUAGUAGGGCUCUUGGCAGAAAUUUGUGAGAAACUAAACAUACUCGGGGUGCCUGUCUGACUCAGUCAGUAGAGCAUGCGACUCUUUUUUUUUUUUUUUUAAUUUUUUUUUUCAACGUUUUUUUUAUUUAUUUUUGGGACAGAGAGAGACAGAGCAUGAACGGGGGAGGGGCAGAGAGAGAGGGAGACACAGAAUGGGAAACAGGCUCCAGGCUCCGAGCCAUCAGCCCAGAGCCUGACGCGGGGCUCGAACUCACGGACCGCGAGAUCGUGACCUGGCUGAAGUCGGACGCUUAACCGACUGCGCCACCCAGGCGCCCUGCAUGCGACUCUUGAUCUCAGGGUCAUGGGUUCGAGACCCACGUUGGGCGUGGAGCCUAUUAAAAAAAAAACUAAAUGCACUUAGUAUGUUUCACUUAUAUAAAGUUUAGUAUGAACCAGGCAUUGUUCUGUUUUAUAUGGGUUAAGUUAAUGACUCUUCAUGCAGUCUUUGAUAGUAGGAACUAACUAUACUUGACAGAUGAGGAAACUGAGGCACAGAAAGGUGAAGUGACUUCCUUAAGAUCACUCAGUUAGUCAGUGAAAGAGUGGGGUUUAAGUGAAAGCUUUUAAUCAGUCAACUAAUAUAACUGACUCCUCUGAAAAUAUGAAAUCAGUUACUUUUUCAAAGGAACUUCUGCUAUGGAGAAUGCAUUCUAAAAAUAAUGGCUGGAAACGUUUGCAUCAUUAAUGUUAUUUUUGUUGCCAAAGCUGUAGAAGUUUGUAAACUUUAAAAAAGGUAUAACAUCUCAAACUUAGGAAACAUAGGAAUAGAAUUUCAAAACUGAUUUAAAAACGAAGGAUUCUGUGUAUUUUGAACUCCUUUAUUAAAUAUAUAAAAGUAUAGUAAAUUCCAAUUUGUUGACAAGAACAAAUGACAGAGCAGGAAAAAAACUGAAAUUGACUAGCAGAUUUCUACAAACCCUUUUGCAUAAUUGGUGGAUGAUUUAAAAAAUAAGUUUCAUGAGGGGAGCUCCUGGCUGGCUCAGUCAGUAGAGUAUGCCACUCUUGAUCUUGGGGUUGUGAGUUUGAGCCCCACAUUGGGUGUAGAGAUUACUUAAAAAAGAAAAAGUUUCCAUGAUUUACUAGGCACGACCAGCAAUGCAUCAUCCCCCCCCACCUGCCCCAUUUGGAUGGAUGUAUUUUUGAGAAGCAUCUUUCCAAGCAGCGACAGUCAGAAAAGUUACACCACACCAAAUCCCUGUAUCACAAAGUAUGAAACAAAGAAAAAAUAAUGACUCCUAUUCAAUUAUAUUAUUCAGUAAAGAACUGUUAUCAGCUGUGGCAUCUGUUUAGUGAGAGCAGAAUUCUUUAUUCCUAUUAAUAAAAACAAUAAAAAAGUUAUUUUCAAACAUUUUAUCUACAUCUUUUAAACUUUUUCUUAUUUUGUAGGUUUCUGUAAUGAUCAUAAUGUAUUAAUGUAAUAGUGUAUGUAUAUAACAUAUAAGUGAAUCUGUAAAAAUAACAGGGUGCAUGUUUAAACUAAGGUGGACCCAUGGUCAGCAAGCUCAGAGGCCGCUGGAUGUGAUGUCCUUUAAGGUCCAUUCCCUAGUUUGGAAUCUUUGAUUCUCAGGCAAAUGCUGUGCUCUUAUUUGGUGAGAGAUAAAACCUAAGUGCUAGAGAGACACUUUCCUCCAAGGCAGGCGGCAUCUCAUUAUCCAGCUCAGUGCCCAAAUCCCAACCAAAAAAAAAAAAAGAAGGGUAAAGACCCACAUUUCUGAGUGAAUCGGCUUGAUUUAAGACCCUGAGCUAUCUGUGUUUUGUACAACAUCUAAUGCACUGUUGAUGCUUAAUAAAUAACAAAUUGUGAUAUUAAUAAUUAAGAAUUGAUGUUCUUGCUCCUGUGAAAUGAUUUGCAGGAGAAUUAUUCCCCAUUCACUCAUAAAGAAAAAUGAGAGGCAGAGACAGAGCAAUAGCUUUUAAGGAAAUUUAGUUCCAGCUACUUUGUGUGUGUGUGUGGUUUUUAGCCCCCAUCUCUGGUAAAUCUGAUGAAUAACUGAGCAAGACAGACCCAGAGCCAGUCUACACUGCUUUCCCCUCCUUUUGUGUCCCUACCUUUAGGUAGGAAUGUCUAGGUUGUUGAAUUGUAGGAUUCUAAAGUGCUUGACAAACAUUAAUUAACUGGGGGGUCGUUCUUUGUUUGAAGAGAGUUAUGUCUAAUUGUGAAUAUGUCUCCAAUUAUCUGCUCCUUUCUUUUGAAUGUGUUAUUAUCUAAAACGUGCAGUAUCUGAUUUGCUUGUACAGUUAUUUUAGUAGGUUUUUUGAAAUAGGUGGCAACCAUGAAAAAAGGGACAUAUAGUCACCUUAGGGAGAAAAAUUGUAAUGAUUACAAACUUUAGGUUCAUGUUCGUAUUUGUGCAUAUUACAUGCAUCUACACACACACGCGCACACACACACACGCGCACGCACACACACACACACACACACACACACACACCUUUCCUGUUACGUACAAGCAUCCUCUCUUUCAAGCCGUGGAUUUUGGCGAUAGUGAUGACCCACCCUGAACUGGACUCCAUUCCUUCUGAGCUAGGGGAAUUGUUGAGAUUUGCUUUUUAAUAGCAGAAAUUGGAAAAACUCUCCAGAAAAGGGAAUUAAUCCUCCUGCAAAAAGCAAGUGUAAUUAGUCACCAGAGGAAACUGGCUCUGCAUGCCAACAGAGUCCAGAAGAUUGGCUGAGUGCUGUUGACUCCUUACCCUCCAUGAACCCAUCCUCCCACCCUACGCGGGAAGAGGGUGACGUUCAGACAGCAGCCACAGCGGACACUGGCAGCGUGGGCCUGGAGACCAGAUGGGUUACAAACUGCAGGAGACCCUGGGCCUGUGUUUUGGCAUAAGCAGUGCACCCUGUUAAUUAGGAGCAUAGCUUGGAACAGUGUCUUACCUAAUUAGCCAGGGCAGGUAUGUACCUGUGCAGGGGUGGAUUACAGAUUUUUCUGUCGCUUGGAGAAAUUUUCUAUAGUAACAAAGGAACAAAAUGUAAAUUAAUCCACAACCGCAGGAUUUGUACGUAUUAUGCCUUUCAAAGCGGGCUUCUCAGUACGUCGCCUAUCAUACCUUCUAGACGUAUCCGUAGCCUGUAAAUACUGAAGCUGAUGUCACUCUUAACUUCAUCUAGGCGCUACUCAUCAGCUUUCAGAGGCAGUGUCAUAGGAUGAAGGUUACAGACUUUGAUGUCACACACACCCCAAUUCAAAUCCUGCCUCCUCCAUUUACUGGCUAUGUUACACAACAGACUUUAAAAUCCUCACCAGUAAGGGGCGCCUGGGUGGUUCAGUCGUUAAGUGGCCGACUUUGGCUCAGGUCAUGAUCUCGUGGUCUGUGAGUUCGAGCCCCACGUCGGGCUCUGUGCUGACGGCUCAGAGCCUGGAACCUGUUUCGGAUUCUGUGUCUCCCUCUCUCUCUGCCCCUCCCCCGUUCAUGCUCUGUCUCUCUCUGUCUCAAAAAUAAAUAAAACGUUAAAAAAAUUUUUUUUUUUUAAAUAAAAAAAAUCCUCACCAGUAAGAUAGGAAUCACAGUACUUGUUAGGGGCUGAAUUGUGUAUCCCACCUCCCCCAGCCCCUGCAAAUUCAUACAUUGAGGUACUCACCUCCAGUGUCUCAGAAUGUGACUGUGUUUGGAGACAGGGCCUCUAAAGAUUAAGUUAGGAUGAGACUAUCAGGGUGGGCCCCUCAUCCAGUCUGACUGAUGUCCUUAAAAAAAUAGGAAAUUGGACCUACAAAAGUGACUCUUAAGGAUGCACAGGGGAGGACUGUGUGAAGAGGCACCCAAAGAGUGAACACUUGCAAGUCAAGGAGAACGGCCUAGAAAAGCCCUUUCCGUUAUGGCCCUCAGAGGAAACCAGCCCCCUGGCACUCUGAUGUUGGAUUUGGAGGCUUCAAACCUGAGAGCAGAUAUAUUCUGUUGUUGAGGCUGCCCAGGCUGUGCUGUUUUGUUAUGGCAGCCCUAGAAAAAAACUAACACAGUGUCUGUGAGAGGGUUAUCACACAACUAAAGGAGAUAAUUUUUGCAUGGAGUCCCUGCCUAUGUCCUAACUAAAUGACCACUGUCACUGUCAUGCAGCUAUUCAGUGAAUAUUGUCUCCCUUCUCUUCCUCACUCAGGAGGCUGUCAUCUCCCAGGAUUCCUCAGCCAUGCUCCGGUGAUACCUGUUUGAAAUCGGACUUCAGGCAAGCUGGUUCCUUCUCGUGUGGCUAAGACGAUGCAGCCAGCUCACCCUGUUUAUGGAACGGUAAGCCACCUCUUCCCAAGGUAUUCCCGUUCUGUAUUUUUCCCGCUGGCUUUUCUCGGUCCUGGCUCAAGGAGACAGCACCUCCUCUGGGAUAGGCUACAGAGGUGAAUCCACCUUGUUCUUGCCCUUCACAGUCUAUGAGGGAAGGGUUUUCUGCCAGUGGCGGGGAUAGCUGUAAAGACAGAGUGAGGAUAUCUGUUGCUCUGCUGGUGCUGUUCUGUGUUUCUGCCCUUUUCUUCUUUGACGUCAAGUGCUGGGAUGCCUAAUGUCUCCAUAUUCCGUGCAAAGUCGAAGUAGAUGCUACCUCAGGAACAAACACAAACACCUGUGGUGUUGCAGGUCUGGCUUCGGGGCCAAGUAAAUUAGCACAGCCCCGUAGUCACAGCACUUGCCCCAAUUCCAGACAGAAAGGGUUGAUGACUCACAGGCCUGCUGACCUGAUGGCCUCACGUCCAUGCCGUCAUCUGGGAAGGCUGCCUGUGCUGCCCACUGCUCUCCUCCUGGGCCCACAAGGGAAGAGCUGCCGUGGUGACAGCAUAGCACAUGAAACCUGGGCUGGGGGACAGGGCUCUUUCUAAGAUAGUUAGGAGGUAAGAGAUUCUUCACGCAUUGAAUUCAAAAGGGUUCUCUUUCCUCUGUGAGUUAAGUUUGCUGACUGCAGUCAUUUGUGUAGUCAUUUCUUUGACCGGCAUUUAGCACAUGCCCACCAAGUGCAAACCACUGACGUGCUCUCUGAGGAGCAUGAUAAUUACAGUAACAAUAAUACUAAUAAAUGUUUUAUUUUGUCAUAACCACCGGUCUAGGCCCUUUAUGUAUUACUGUGGAUUUUGUUGGUAACAUUUUUGAAUGUAUGCUACUGUUACAGGAACUAUGCUAAGCAGCUCGCCUGCACUUUAUUUCUUCAAAAAAAAUUUUUUUUAAUGUUUAUUUUUCAGACAGAGACAGAGAGACAGAGUGAGAGAGGAGGAGGGGCAGAGAGAGAUGGAGACGUAAAUUUCCGAAGCAGGCUCCAGGCUCUGAGCUGUCAGCACAGAGCCCGACGCGGGUCUAGGACUCACGAGCUGUGAGAUCAUGACCUGAGCCGAAGUCAGACAUUUAACCGACUGAGCCACCCAGGUGCCCCGUGCCCUUUAUUUCUUAAAGUGACUUUCUGAGGAAGGUACUCUGAGUCGCAUUUCACAGAUGGGAAAGCUGAGGUUCAGAUAAUGCUGAAAGUCACAUGGCUGGUAAAUGCUAAAGUCAGUUGUAACAGUUACGUUGUUCUCAUCCCAAAGUCUAUUCUUAUUCAGUUGCCCAUAAAGAGAGUUGAGAAGGAAACGUUCUAUAAUAAUUGAGGUCCCUUGUGCCCUGCACUUGGAAAUCAUUCUCAGGGGAAACAUUCUUCUUAUAAACAACAUUAGCUUUAUGUGACCAAAUCAUGUGUCUGGUGUGAUUUUCAGACUCUUGCCCUGGGUGCUGAAAUAUCUAUCACACACCCUGAAAGCAGCUCUUUAUCGACAUUUGAGAGCUGUUCCUUUGGGUGAAGGCUGUGCCCAAUGGGGGAAUGUUGAUUCCAUUAUGUCCCUUGCACCUUCCUGUCAGUGUGUUGAUCAUGUCAUAUUCUCUUUGGGAGUGCUCUAGAGUUCAAGUUGCCUUGAAACAUGAAAGCAGGGAGAGCCAGAGCCAUGGUAUGUGUGAAGGUAUGAGAGGUGUGCACCCCUCUGGGGAUGAGCAGGCAGUGAGGUCCAAACCUGAGAGACUGACUGGUUUGUGUGGUUGGAGCUGGGGGACUUCCUGAAGCUCAAGGCAGCUCUCUUUCCAAAUCCAUCUAAUCUCCAGCUGGUUGAUGGCUUAGAUAGAGACAUUAGGGAGUAAGCAGAGCCAGGCUGCUUUGGGAAUGAGAUAAAACUCCAUUACUCUGGAAUUUAUACCUAAUCAUGGUCAUAUCUACCUAUGUGCAGCCCAUUUGAAUGGAAAUAUGUUUCUGUUUAACCCAACUACAACCCACUGCUACUAAUAACUAAUAUUAAUGUCAUGACCAUUUACAAAACACUUUUAUAGGUUAUCAUCUCAUUUGGUUAUUCCGGCAAAUUCUGGGGUGCAUAUUUUCUUUCCCUUUCCCUCUGGGGGAAGUGAGACUCACAUAGUGAAGUGAUUUGCCCAGGGUCACCAAGCCGGGCAGUGGGACAUGUGUAGAGAAGCAUACCUCAUCUUUGGGCAAGGCCACAGAUCCUUUGGCCAUAUCAACCCGCCUCCUUGACCACACACUCAUUUCCCUUAUGGAACCUGAAAAUGCUGGGCUUCCAAAUCACGGACCAGUUUCAAUAAACAAAAAGGCUGACCUAAGUCUUUUUACUCCUUAUGGGUACUCACCGUCUGUCUGAAGCCCAAAUGAUGGAAACACUCUCUCUCACCGGGGAUGACUUUCAAGGAUGUGCGGGUGGUUGAGAGCCAGCUGUGCUGCUGAAUGCAUUACCAGACAAUGUCUGGGCUCUGGCCAGAUUCCUCAGAUUCCUUUUUACUGUUUGUGCAUGCUGGUGGGUUUGGUGUGAUUUGCUUUCAGUGGCCAGGCCUGUGGCUUUCUUUUUUUUUUUUUUUCUCCUCAGGGAAUGGCCCUGACCAACAGGUAUGGGAGUGCCUCUGGUCGGCCUGGACGACUGUGAGGUGUAGCUUACACCCUGGAGCUCCCUGGUGGCAUCAAGUGAAGUCAGCUGUCUCUGGGUCUUUACCUGAGAUCGCACCUUUGCCUGACUUGCUGCUAGCCAGUCCGGCUUCCCUCACCCCCUAUCAGUGUUCUCUUAGAGACCUUUCUUGCCAGAACCUUUGCACAUGAGUCCUUGUCUCCUACUUUGCUUCGAGGGAGCCUGGACUAAACAUAAAGAAGUAUGUUCCAGAAUCUUCCGCUUGCCCUAGUUUUGUGUUUAUUUCCGUGUGUUUGACUAAGGAGUUUCAAAGUUCAUCACUUGUCUGACCUUCAGUUAUUUAAAAUCGCUGAGGCUCUUUUUGAAUCUCUAAAAUGAAGGAUAAUAACACCUCUCCAGGCCAUGGUAGGAAUUUAAAUUUUUUUUUUAAUUUUUAAAUGUUUAUUUAUUCUUGAGAGAGAGAGAGAGAGAGAGAGAGAGAGAGAGAGAGAUCAUGAGCAGAGAAGGAACAGCGAGAGAACGAGACAGAAUCUGAAGCAGGCUCCAGGCUCCAAGCUGUCAGCACAGAGCCAGAUACGGGGCUCGAACUCACAAACUGUGAGAUCAUGACCCUGGCUGAAGUCGGACUCUCAACCAGCUGAGCCACCAAGGCGCCCCUAAUUUUGUUUUUUUAAUGUUUAUUUUUGAGAGAAAGAGAGAGACAGAGAUAAGGUAGGUAAAGCACUUGACAUAAUGUUCGUAGGUGGUGUUUGGGUAUUAUUUCCUAUUCUAAUAUUUUGUGUGGAAAUCUCUCUAGUGGCAUUCUGGGAAACAUGGCCAGGAGAAUGAGUCACAGUCACAGAAUAAUUCUACCAUAGCACAGCCUGGUAUCUCUGUGAAUUUCAUAGACUCAUAGACAAAAGCCGUUUAUGGCAUGUAAUCCGGUGUCUCAGGGCUUAGCAGACACCGAUUGCAAAUGCAGUCACAUCAGAUUAAGCCCCAAAUGUCAAUAGCAGUGAGCAGACCCCCAUUUGACUGGCUUCUUAUUGACUCAAGGAAGCCCAACCUUUAUAGACUGUGCCCCUCACCCCCUGCCCCGCCUCCACGGGGUGAUCACGUCCAUCCACAAUUCUUCCUCAGCACUUUUUGCGGAGCCUCGACUUGGAGCUUUAUGUCCCAUCCUUUCCAGAGUUGCUGAUCCCAGCCCUGCCACUCUGUUCUUGUUGGCACGGCUGCUGCUAGUGAAGAUGGAGAGAGCCCCCCAAGGAAUGUCAUUUUCAAAAUGGUGCAGAACUGCUUCCCGCAAGGCCUGACAUCCUCCUCGUUGUGGUUUCUGUGAGUGCAAGAGGAUCUUUCUUUUGUAUUUUUUUGCGCUCUGCUGGGAUUGGCCGUGCGAUGCCGUGAUUGCUGAUGGAGUGCUUACAGCUGCAGAGGGCAGUGCCCGGACUCUGCAGUGGCCAGGCUCAAGGAUAUAAUAUGCAUAGGUGCUGGUAAAGCUGAAACCCACUGCCCUGAGUUGGAUAAAUCAGGAGUAUUGUUACUGCGCCUCAAGGUCAGGGAACCUGAUGGCUGCCACAGCUGAUGGGCACCAAAAGAAGAGAACUCUUUCCUGUCUGUGUGUGUGUGUGUGUGUGUGUGUGUGUGUGUGUGUAGAGGGCGGAGGAGGUGGAGUGAGAUGCGUGGGUGGGGAACAAGAAAAAGUGACAAAGGAUCUAUAAUGAUUUCACCAGCAUUUUAAUAUAUUUUCUUAAAAAUUAUUUUUUUAAAUGUUUAUUUUUGAGAGAGACAGAGUGUGAGCGGGGCAGGGACAGAGAGAGACGGAGACACAAAAUCCUAAGCAGGCUCCAGGCUCUGGGCUGUCAGCACAGAGCCCGAAGGGGCGGGGUGUGGGGGGGUGGGGCUUGAACUAAUGAAUCACGAGAUCACGACCUAAGCAAAGUCAGAUGCUUAACCGACUGAGUCACCCAAGCGCCCCUUAAUAUAUUUUCAAUUAACACCCAGAACGCUUUUCUCCUCAGGACAAAUCUCAGGUGGCAAUAAGUUCUGGAAUCUGCCAUCGUGUAUAACCAUAAUCACUUCACCCCUCCAAAUUCCAGCCCUGUUGCUGGGUCUUACAGCACAGAUAAAGCAAUUACUGUAUAAAACCACAAGUGACUGUGGCAGCUUCAGCCUGUAAGGAAGUACCAUCAUUUCUCUCUGGAGUAAAUAGCCUUUUAUUUAGCAAAGAUGAGGCCCCCAGGGCAUGAUUUGGGAGGAGGCAUUGAAACAAAGAGAUAGCUAAGCCAAUCAGCAUAAAAAAUAAAUACGGGUUUUGUGGGGGGAGGGGGUGGGAGAGCUGAGAAAGGAGAAGAAGGAACCAGGAGAAAUCAGGCAUUAACCCAGAGUGCACUGCGAGACCACAACCUGUUAGACCAUCACCAGUGGCCAGAUGAUGUUCAAAGACAAGAUUAAGGUUGUUCUGUGUUUGUGUUUUGUUUUACUGCUUGCUCGGUGCUGCUAGGUAAUGGCCUGAGGUUAAGCCUGUGUCCCGUGGUGUUUCUGGGAAAUCAAGAGAAAGAGUUUGCUCCAGACCCGGAGAACUAGAAGGCAGAGCGAAUAGAGCAGCCUGGAGAGACUGAGAACUUCACUGGGUAAGGGAGAAAUCAGAAGGGGAGCCUUUGGAGACUCACGGAGAUAUUUCGGAAGAGACUGGGUUUCCAUUAACCACGAGAUGGGCAGAGUGUCAGCCAAUUUUAUGUAAUUCUCAGGAACAAGGUGACCUCAAGUGAUAUCUGGAUAGCAACCUAAGUACCCCCUCUUGCCAUCUUUUAUCCACCUCAGCCCAUCAAACUUGGCUGUGUGUGUCUGAAUCCCACUGGUUUCUAGGUUUUAGCCCUCUCCAGAAGCCCCGCAGAUCCCGAAUAAGUCACUGGAUACAAAUGGCUAAGUGGGAGGAAAAUGUGUGUAAUUGAUGUGGUGAACAAGCAAAACUCGUAGGGGGUAAUCAUAGAGCCAAUUUAUUCCCCCCCCCCACCCCCCAAACAGUGCAUAAAAUUUUUAGGUUGUCAAACAUAAUCUAUAUUCAGAAAGUCCAGCCUAUAAAAUAUCAACACUCCAACCUUGACUUGAGGUCCAAUCUUCUCCCUCCUCCAGUCACACUACUGGUUGGUGGGGAGGAGGGGAGCAGAGACUGGGCAGAGGUGGAGAACAGGAGCUAGAAUGUGUUUCUGCCCUUCUAGGGCCAGAAAAUAGUAACAGAAGAAGGAGAGGUGAAGGAGAGGUGGGGAGCAGAAAAGGUCUCACGUGACUCAAACUCUCUCAUGGGUUUGUGGUCUGUGGGCCUGACGGCUUUGAUUCUUUGGAGAGUCCCGUCCCUGGAGGCCUUUCAUCUGGAGCUCCAUUGACCCAAGUAAAGGCAUUUCCACUAUGGCCAAUUGCUCACUCCUUCUGUAUCCUCCAGAUAUCUGGCAAUAUCUUUAGCUUCUCUCCACUAGGGCCUGUGUCCCCCUUUGGGACCUCUUUUGGGACAGGACCAAAGCUGUCCUGUCAAAUUCACUCUUGAUACAACCCACUUCUGCCCGUGGGAAACGUUUGCCCCUUUUCCCCUUGACACACUCUGAGAGUGUAGGCUGCCUCGUGCAGCCACUUAUUUUUUGACUUCUUUGUCAGCUUGUUUUACGUUUGAAGUGAGAGACAGAUAGCCGCUCAUGUGUCCUCCAACUGUAGUCCUGUUAAAAUCCUGUAAGCAGGCUGCAGAUGAGCAACACGUAUUCCCCACCCUUCUAAAAUGGCAGAACACAAAGGCUGCAUCACCCUGUGCUCUUCAAAGGAAACCUCUUUCCCCAAGUCUGCUGAACCCAGCUGUUUUUAUGCCCUUUAUAUAAAUGAAGAGUCUAAGAGAUGUCUCACCCAAUCUUGUCACCAACUCUGAAGUUUCUGCAUGGAAAUAGAAAACAAUUUGGAUUGUAGCAUGUCGACUAUGUGCUGUAGCUGAUAUGUUCCCUCUGAUGCACCUUGGCUUCUCUUUGUAAUCGGACGUUCAGUUGGGCCAUCAGACAUGGUGGUUUAUAUCUGGAUUCCAAUAGUAUGAUGGUUCAAGUUUUGUCUUUUUCCCUCGGGAGAUUCUUCAAUCCCAGUGACAAUAAGGGGAUACAGAUGGUUAAAGGGAGGAAGGCUUUUUCCUCAGUCCAUUUCCCGGAAGCAUUUGUGGCUAAGUACCUGUCUCACUAAGCCUCCUUCUUACAAUUAAGAAAUGGCUGGGGAGCCUGGGUGGCUCUGUCAGUUAAGUGUCCGACUCUUGAUUUCGAAUCAGGUCAUGAUCUCACGGUUCAGGAGUUUGAGCCUACAUCUGACUUCAUGUUGACAGUGUGGAGCCUCCUUGGGAUUCUCUCUCUGCCCCUCCCCUGCGCACUCUCUCUCUCUCAAAAUAAAUCAAUGAACUUAAAAAAGAGGGGCGCCUGGUGGCUCAGUUGGUUAAGCGACCAACUUCGGCUUAAGUCAUGAUCUCACUGCUUGUGAGUUUAAUCCUCGCAUCAAGCUCUGUGCUGACAGCUCAGAGCCAGGAGCCUGCUUUGGAUUUCAUCUCCGUCUCUCUGCCCCUCCUCUGCUCCACUCCGUCUGUCUGUCUGUCUCUCUCUCAAAUAUAAAAUAAAAAAUAAACCAAAACCAAAACCAAAACCAAACAAACUAAAAGAAAUGGCUAAUGGUUCUCCUUUUUGACUCUUAGUAGAAGGGCAGCACACACUGAAGUUAAGGUACAUUAGGAUGUUUGUAUCUGAUUGGGUUUUAAAAUGUUUUUCUAAGUAUGGUAUCAUGAACCUUCCAUGUUAGUAUCCAGCAGAGUACAGAGAAAUACUGUAAAGCUUUGUAAGCAUAGAGCAAGGCAGAAAGUGGUUUUUACUUCUCUCUUGCUCUUCUCUUCCUCCUACUUGGAAAAUACACCUUGAUUUUCAUUUGCGCUGAGCUUUUCUUAUACAAAGUAGUGGCCUUCAUUUUGAAAUUUGGAAUUCGUUGUGAUGCUUGGCUUAGAAGCUGUGUUCUGAAAUCGGUGAAAGUUACAUCAAAUUACAGAUUUAGCUUGUGCAGUGUGGUUGCCGGAGAACCCGGAGAAGUACACUCAGAAAUAGAGCCUACGCUUUGGACCAUAAGUGUCCCCUGAGAUGUAGCUCUCCUAAAUUGGCCUACUAGGUGGAGAUUAAUGAGGAAGGUGGUGUGUGUAUGUGUGUGUGAAUGUACCGUUUACUCACCCAAUCAGUUUCAGUGAGGUAAUACAAAGAAGGCAGAAGAAGCAGCUACGAGGGAGAAAAGUGGACAAUGGGCACAGAUAAACUCCUGCUCCAUUCAGCCGUGCAAAUUAGAACAUAAUACUAAUUUUCUUAAAAAGGUCAGGCAGACAGUUUAGCAAAACAAACACCCGACAAAAUCCUCCCUGCCAUCUGCUUGGAGUCUGAGGCCUUGUUUAGUUUUACCUCCCCUUGUUAUUAGCCACAUGACCCUAGGUUAUUUACAACCUCUCUGGGCAUCCCGUUUCUGCCUCUCUGAAAUGGAGGCAAACCUAUCUGUCAUGCCGAAGUCUCAUGUAAAGGGUUCACUGUUCAUGAAGUUCCCCGCGCCCUGCACAGGGGGGCCUUGCCGUAAGGCAUUAUGGUCGAGUGACAGUUGACGUGAUGGAGAUCUGGAGAUCUGGCGCUGGGACUUCAGGGUCUUGAAUCAGGUUUUCAAUUUCAAUUUGAACAUGUGCCCACUGGCUGUAUUGACACAGCAGAAAGCCAAGGGCAGAUUUGACAAUGAUUUGUUUAAUUUGAUUGAUGUGGAUCGCAGAAGUGGGCCAUUCGGUCUGCAGAAUAGCUAGGCUGUAAUGAUCUGAUAUUGGCUGUCUACAUUCAUCAACCUAAGUGGGUAAUUAGCAAAACACCAUUUGACUUUGUGAUGUAUAGACAGUAAUUGUGACUGUUUCCCAAUUAAAAAUCUCAUCCAAAGUCGUGACUUUGGUUGUCACAUCUGUGCAGAUGAUUUCCACAUUUGUUCCUACCUCCAUCUCUGAAUUCUUUCUUAAAAGACUUUUAUUUUUCCAGCACAGCCAUCAGGCAUCUUCUAUACACACAUUUUCCCUCAUACAUGUGCCCUUCUUCUAUAAUCCUCAUUUCAGCAGUUCCCACCAUGGUCGAGGUGAACUCUGACGUCUUCCUACCCCACACCUUCCACAUUCUAUUAGUGCCAGAUUCUAUCAGUUCUAUGAAGUAUCUUCAAAUCCUCCCCCUCCUCUGUAAUUCUAUAGCCCUGCUGUCCUACGACUUCAUCAAGGCACCACCUAUGGUGACAAACCCUGUAAUUGGCCUUCCUUUUCCUCAUUCCAAUCUAUCCUAUACAUUAAUGCUCUCAUCUUCCUUUUCUUCUGCUCCAAAAAUCCCUGGGGGAUUCUCCUUGCCUGUAGGAUGGAGCCCGUAUUCUUCCAACUGGCGUCCUAAGCAUGGCAAGGCCUGGCUCCAACCUGUCUUUCCAACUUUAUCUUGUCUUACUCACCUUCAUGCACACUUCUGAGCAAUGGAUCCCUAGUUCCCUGCCCUGACUCAUGCCCUCCUAGCUGCUCUGCUGUCUCACACAAGUUUUUUUCUGGAAGCUUGCUCCCCUCAUUCAGCUCCCUAAACACCACUCUAAGGGCUACCUAAUCUUCAAGAGCUGUUCAGGUGCCACUUCCUCACUGCCCUCCUUUAGGCUUUUUGUCUCUGAUCUGUACUCCAGUACAUGGUAACAAGAGUUGUCCUACUUCCUCCUCUCUAGACUGUGAGUUCCUCCAGGGCAGGCUUUGUAACUAGUCAUCUCUGUAUUCAACAGGGUCUCCAUAUCUUGCAUAUAAUGGUUGCUUCUUAAAUAACCAUUGAAUAGAUGAAUGUCUAUAAAGGAAGCAAGCUUUCCAGUCUAUUUGUUUCUACUUUCUUGUGCGGAAAGCAACCACUUAUUUGAAUAUUGGAAACUCAUGUGUUUGGAAUAUUUUCCUCUGGGAAUGCUCAAUAUGUUCCUAUGGCUGUCUUCUUUCUGAUGAUGUGGGUCCUUUAUCAGUGGUAUGUGGCACUAAUUAUAGGGAAGGGGAAAGGAAAUUCUAGAAAGUAGUUCACUGAAGAGGAAAAUGAGCAUAAAAAUUCUUACUGUAAGUGGAAUAAAUAAUAUGUUUGCUGAGAAGGACAUCUUGAAAGGCAACAUUUUCUAUUUUAAGAGAAAUAAUAAUAACUUAAAAAAGUAACAUCUUAGUAUUUUUUUUUAGGAGAAACUGAAUUUGUAAGAACUGUAGAAUAAUCAAAUCAUUGAGAAAUUGAGCUGAACUUUGCCUAGAAUUCAGUAGCCACUGGGUUUGACAGGAGAGGGAAAAAUGGCUGUUGGGCUUGAGAAAAGGACUAAUGGAGACAAAUUACAGGAAUGGUAAUCAUUUUAACGGAACUUUGGAGUGAUGAGCGUUCUGAGCUGAUGGCCAAGAAAGAAUUCUUUGGUGCAAAAAGGUGAUUUUAUUAAUGCACGGGGACAAGACCCAUGGGCAGAAAGAGUGGCACUGGGAUUAUGAAGACUGACUGAUUAUAUACCUGGGAGUUGGAGGUAAAGUCAAAAGGGAGGCCUCCAGAAGGACUUUCAUAUGCUAAAGAAAACUAAUAAGAUCCCAGAGGCCUUGCUAUUGUCAAGCUUAGGUUGUUUUUCCUCUAGUAAGGUAUUAACUUUAGGCCAGUAGGGGGUUCCUGGAGAAGUAGUCUGUAUUUGCCACAAGUAUUUGUCAAUGGGCUGCAGGUUAUAAGGAAAUUUUAUUUUACCUGCCAUUUCCUUCUUGCCUUCGUUCCCACAUCACUAUGGAGGGGAGGGUGAGAUUAGGGCUCCAGGAAACUGAGUCUAUAGGUUUCUGGAGAUUAGACUACUGAGAAGAUUGCCUAUUUCUUGUAAUUUACUAAGACAUUUGUAAACUGAUGGAGAUUCAGGUCCUACAUGACUGUGAUCUCUAUCAGUUAACCAUUUGUUUUCUUUUCUUUCCUUUGUUCUUGGGCAGCCAGGAGUCCCUGAGGAAUAUCACACAUAUCCCACCUGGUGGGGGUGGGGGGAGGUGUUUGCAGCCUGUCAGCUUGCCUUAUGUUCCCACAUCACCCAUUACAUUGGGGAACACAAUGAAAGAGAAUAUGGGCAAACCCAAGCAGUCAUUUUAAUGCAAAGGAUAGUGUGAAGGGUGGGGUGAGAUUUGAGGAUGGAGGCAGGAUUUCAUUGGGACACAUUUUGUGGGAAUAAAAUAAAGUGAACGUUUAAUGGUUUAUUCUUAGGCUCAACAAAAAGCCCCAACUCAUUAAAAUGUUCCACACUGAGAUCUCUCCGGGGAAUCUGAGUUGGAGCUUUCUGAUGGUACAAUGGGAUUGGUGACGGUGACUGAAGGUGGUCCUGAUAAGGGUCUUUGCUUAACAUACUACUUUACACGCAGUAGCUGUUAGGUUAAAUGCUGUUGGGUUAAAAACCAGUAUUAGCUAUUAAAUAUUCACAAAGGUUCAGAUGUAUAUCUGCCUAGAGGCAAGAGAAUGAGCUCUAUGUACAGUUAUUAUAUGCUUCAGAUUUUCCAGAACAUCUAUUUUUUUUUUUUUUUUAAGUAGGUCCCACUCCCAGCGUGGAGCCCAUGGUGGGGCUUGAACUCAAGGCUUGAACCUUUAGAUCAAAACCUGAGCUGAGCUAAGAGUUGGAUGAUCAACUGACUGAGCCACCCAGGCACCCCUGGAACUGUAGAGAAUGAAUUUAAAAUUUUGUAUGUCUUGCCUAUUGUUCAAUGUGAGCACCAUUAAAUUUUUCUAGACUUAGUUUGCUAUACCCUA